Molecule: ribosomal RNA, 328 nt
Filed under: uncultured Neocallimastigales
Lineage: Eukaryota; Fungi; Neocallimastigomycota; Neocallimastigomycetes; Neocallimastigales
Description: partial large subunit ribosomal RNA
Source: RNAcentral
GUUGUUUAGUUGAAAAUCAAUUAAAUAAUUUUUGAUUUUGAGUAGUAUUGACUUCAUCAGCUUGCUGCUUUCUUUUCGGAAAUUAUUUAAUGCACUUUUCAGUUAACAAGUCAACAUCAAUUUCUUUUGUUGUAAAAGGGUAAGAGGAAGGUGGCUUACAUUUCGGUGUAAGUGUUUAUAGCCUUUUACCUCUGCAAUCGGAGAGAUUGAGGUCAGCAGCGUAGACUCUUCGGGGUUAGAUACACUUGUGCUAAGCUAUAGCCUUGUAUAGACAACUUGUUGACUAUGCUCAGUCAUGUAGCUUACUCGCUUGUAGUAUUUUACCUAC